CAGUUUCUAUCCUCUUUUUGAAAUGAGCUAAUUUUGUACGAAAGGACUUUUUCGCUAAAGCAAUGCUUUGUCACAAAUCUGUGGUUGCAUAAAUAAUAGUGUAUAACAGGUUGAUUAGCCUAUAGGAAGGGUUA
Molecule: ribosomal RNA, 134 nt
Filed under: Mytilus edulis (blue mussel)
Lineage: Eukaryota; Metazoa; Mollusca; Bivalvia; Mytilida; Mytilidae
Description: partial 16S ribosomal RNA
Source: RNAcentral